Molecule: ribosomal RNA, 439 nt
Filed under: uncultured bacterium
Lineage: Bacteria
Description: partial 16S ribosomal RNA
Rfam family: Bacterial small subunit ribosomal RNA
Source: RNAcentral
CGGGGGGCUGCACCAGUGGGGAAUAUUGCACAAUGGAGGAAACUCUGAUGCAGCAACGCCGCGUGGAGGAUGACACUUUUCGGUGUGUAAACUCCUUUUAUAUGUCAAGAAAAUGACGGUAGCAUAUGAAUAAGCACCGGCUAACUCCGUGCCAGCAGCCGCGGUAAUACGGAGGGUGCAAGCGUUACUCGGAAUCACUGGGCGUAAAGGACGCGUAGGCGGGUUGGAAAGUCAGGUGUGAAAUCCUACAGCUUAACUGUAGAACUGCACUUGAAACUUCUAAUCUAGAGUAUGGGAGGGGGAGAUGGAAUUAGUGGUGUAGGGGUAAAAUCCGUAGAUAUCACUAGGAAUACCUAAAGCGAAGGCGAUCUCCUGGAACAUUACUGACGCUAAGGCGUGAAAGCGUGGGGAGCAAACAGGAUUAGAUACCCUAGUAGUC